CUUGCUUCCCCUUCACCCUUCUGCCAUGAUUGCAAGUUUCCUGAGGCAUCCCCAGCCAUGCCUCCUGUACAGCCUGUGGAACUUCAGGACCUGGGAGAGAAAAAAGCUACCAGCAACAUUCAGACUGAGAGAGGCCAAAAUACUAAUUCAUAAUUAGCCUGGUACAUAUGAAGGAUCAAAAAGAACAGGACUGUAUGUCUAACCUCUGACAGGCCCUACCACCAUAGUAGAGACUCAGUAUGUAUACUUAAUGAAGGAAUAAUGAAUACAUCAGCAAGAGAAAUAAGAGUGACCAUAUGUUCCUUAAGAGAAGCAAAGAGCAGCUCCUGUUCCUGCCAGCUGGAAUGAGUCUCCAUUCCUUGCAACAGAAGUGUCCUAAGUUAUAGCCAGAGGACGGGGGCACAUUGACAAAACAUAAUAACAAGGUACCAUUCCAGCAAGAACAUCUGAAGAAAGAAGCAGUGUUGUUUAUCUUUCCUUCAUCUAUUCUGAAACUAAAAUCCUUAACCAAAUUUAUUUCCGAAGUUUAACCCUUUAAUAAACUGGCCUCUGACUCCACCUGGUGGAGAUACAUAAAUCUAUGAAAAUAAACCAAUCCAAAUGAAGAUUUUAAA
This 614-nucleotide long non-coding RNA is filed under the name Pan troglodytes (chimpanzee). RNAcentral's name for it is "lincRNA". The record is from RNAcentral. Lineage: Eukaryota; Metazoa; Chordata; Mammalia; Primates; Hominidae.